AAAGCUAGGGUUUUAUUCCUAUAUAUUGUAUUCUAAAUCAUAUUAUUUUACAUAACUCGGAUUCACUUUCGGUUUUCAAUAUUUAUUAUACAUUUUCUGAUUCGGUUCCAACCGAAAGUUGCAUAUCUACUCUAUUAAAAGAGGAGUACAAAUAUCAUGUAAACCUGACUGCUGAUGUAAUUUACUCUAUUAAAAGAGGAGUACAAAUAUAAAAUAUUCCUAAGUUUCCCAAUUUAUUUACAAUGACAUGCCAUUAGAGUUAUCAAUUAACCUACCUUUUAGGAUUUUAUGUCUUUUUCUGUUUAAUUAAUAUAUUUUCUAAUUUGACC
Molecule: long non-coding RNA, 329 nt
Filed under: Brassica napus (rape)
Lineage: Eukaryota; Viridiplantae; Streptophyta; Magnoliopsida; Brassicales; Brassicaceae
Description: long non-coding RNA (BNAP_LNC021898)
Source: RNAcentral